RNAcentral lists this non-coding RNA (172 nucleotides) under Clostridium colicanis DSM 13634. RNAcentral describes it as "Lysine riboswitch aptamer". It matches the Rfam family "Lysine riboswitch aptamer". From Rfam's summary of the family: Riboswitches are metabolite binding domains within certain messenger RNAs that serve as precision sensors for their corresponding targets. Allosteric rearrangement of mRNA structure is mediated by ligand binding, and this results in modulation of gene expression. This family includes riboswitches that sense lysine in a number of genes involved in lysine metabolism, including lysC. The record is from Rfam by way of RNAcentral. Lineage: Bacteria; Bacillati; Bacillota; Clostridia; Eubacteriales; Clostridiaceae.
ACCUAGGGUAGAGGUGCUGUAAUUAAGAGUAUUUGCUAAGAGCCGGCAGGCAAAGACGAGCAAAGAAAGGAAUUAUGGCCGAAGAAGAUAAAUUGGCAAAUUUAUCUUCUGGCUUUGCACAGAAUAUGUGUAAGGCUGUCACGUUAAGUUUACGUGGAGAGCUACAAGGUAC